Molecule: non-coding RNA, 124 nt
Organism: Hordeum vulgare subsp. vulgare (domesticated barley)
Lineage: Eukaryota; Viridiplantae; Streptophyta; Magnoliopsida; Poales; Poaceae
Source: Rfam
AUACUACUCCCUCUAUCCGAAAAUAUUUGUCCUAGAAAUGGAUAUAAUGGAUGUAUCCAUAACUAAAAUAAAUUUAGAUACAUUCAUCUUUAGGACAAGUAUUUCCGGACGGGGGGAGUAUAUA